GACGAACGCUGGCGGCGUGCUUAACACAUGCAAGUCGAACGGAAAGGCCCUGCUUUUGUGGGGUGCUCGAGUGGCGAACGGGUGAGUAACACGUGAGUAACCUGCCCUUGACUUUGGGAUAACUUCAGGAAACUGGGGCUAAUACCGGAUAGGAGCUCCUGCUGCAUGGUGGGGGUUGGAAAGUUUCGGCGGUUGGGGAUGGACUCGCGGCUUAUCAGCUUGUUGGUGGGGGAGUGGCUUACCAAGGCUUUGACGGGUAGCCGGCAUGAGAGGGUGACCGGCCCCAUUGGGACUGAGAGACGGCCCAGACGGCUACGGGAGGCAGCAGUGGGGAAUAUUGCACAAUGGGCGGAAGCCUGAUGAGGCAACGCCGCGGGCGGGAUGACGGCCUUCGGGGUGUAAACCGCUUUCGCCUGUGACGAAGCGUGAGUGACGGUAAUGGGUAAAGAAGCACCGGCUAACUACGUG
RNAcentral lists this ribosomal RNA (468 nucleotides) under uncultured bacterium. Its description in RNAcentral is "partial 16S ribosomal RNA". It matches the Rfam family "Bacterial small subunit ribosomal RNA", at positions 28 to 507 of the family's 1533-position model. The record is from RNAcentral.